UGGUUCUGGCAUCGAUGAAGAACGCAGCGAAAUGCGAUAAGUAAUGUGAAUUGCAGAAUUCAGUGAAUCAUCGAAUCUUUGAACGCAUAUUGCGCCCUUUGGCAUUCCGAAGGGCAUGCCUGUUCGAGCGUCAUUACACCCCUCAAGCCCGGCUUGGUGUUGGGCAGGGCCGGUGGCCCGCCUGAAAAUCAGCACGGUCGUGUGAACCUGGCGCACAAACGCCGCCGACGGGAUCACGGUCCGUUCGUGCAUGAUGCAAACACGUUGACCUCGGAUCAGGUAGGAAUACCCGCUGA
This 296-nucleotide unclassified non-coding RNA is filed under the name uncultured fungus. RNAcentral describes it as "partial contains 5.8S ribosomal RNA and internal transcribed spacer 2". The stretch from base 1 to 133 matches the Rfam family "5.8S ribosomal RNA", at positions 22 to 154 of the family's 154-position model. The record is from RNAcentral. Lineage: Eukaryota; Fungi.